RNAcentral lists this ribosomal RNA (301 nucleotides) under uncultured bacterium. RNAcentral's name for it is "partial 16S ribosomal RNA". It matches the Rfam family "Bacterial small subunit ribosomal RNA", at positions 509 to 807 of the family's 1533-position model. The record is from RNAcentral.
CAGCCGCCGCGGGAAUACGUAGGGUGCAAGCGUUAAUCGGAAUUACUGGGCGUAAAGCGUGCGCAGGCGGUUCGCUAAGACAGAUGUGAAAUCCCCGGGCUUAACCCGGGAACUGCAUUUGUGACUGGCGGGCUAGAGUACGGCAGAGGGGGGUAGAAUUCCACGUGUAGCAGUGAAAUGCGUAGAGAUGUGGAGGAAUACCGAUGGCGAAGGCAGCCCCUUGGGCCAAUACUGACGCUCAUGCACGAAAGCGUGGGGAGCAAACAGGAUUAGAUACCCCGGUAGUCCCUGUCUCUUAUAC